Molecule: long non-coding RNA, 3783 nt
Organism: Bombyx mori (domestic silkworm)
Lineage: Eukaryota; Metazoa; Arthropoda; Insecta; Lepidoptera; Bombycidae
Exons: 2
Source: RefSeq, a predicted model, not a curated record
UAAAGGAUAAGACGUCCGGUGCAUUCGUAUCGAGCGAUGCACUGGUGUUCGAAUCUCGCUGGCGGGUACCAAUUUUUCUAAUGAAAUACGUACUCAACAUAUGUUCACGAUUGACUUCCACGGUGAAGGAAUAACAUCGUGCAAUAAAAAUCAAACCCGCAAAAUUCUAAUUUGCGUAAUUACUGGUGGUAGGACCUCUUGUGAGUCCGCGCGGGUUGGUACCACCACCCUGCCUAUUUCUGCCGUGAAGCAGUAAUGCGUUUCGGUUUGAAGGGUGGGGCAGCCGUUGUAACUAUACUUGAGACCUUAGAACUUGUAUCUCAAGGUGGGUGGCGCAUUUACGUUGUGGAUGUCUAUGGGCUCCGGUAACCACUUAACACCAGGUGGGCUGUGAGCUCGUCCACCCAUCAAAGCAAUAAAAAAAAAAACAUGACCAAAAUAUUUAGCUCGAAUAAUAGCUUUCUCAGCAGUAUUUAAAUUGGAUGCGGUUACAAACUUGUUUCGCGGUAAUUUUCUUAUAAAUCGAAGUACAUAAACAACACAGCGAAGAAGUUUUGACCAUGACGAAAUUCUCAACCCAAGUUGAUAUAUUGGGGAAUCUUCGACAACAGUUAAAGUGGUAAGUGUUACAGAUUUUUUUCAUUUAAGGUAUGUCACUUCCAGAUUUACAAGGUACAAAAGGUUCAAUAUGCCAUUGUGAAAAAGGAUAGCAGGCCCAAGAAGGGCCCUGCCACCAAAGCGAGUUAUUAAUAAUUUGUGACGGUAAAAGACCUCGUGAUACACAAUCGCUAGAAUUUUCCUUACCAUUAAUAUGAAAAAAGCGGUCAGGUGAUAAAUUCUCUUGAAUUUGAGCGAUGCGGUUUCCUACAAAUAUUGACCAUCUGCGGGGAAGAUUUAAUCCAAGAAAGAGCAAUUGUAGAAUCUGAGAAAGCGUAUAUAGCGGUGAUAGGAUGUAAAGAAUUAUAAGCGUUAUAAAUAAGUUUAACUAAUUUUGACAAAACAAGAGCGGCACAAAGCUCAAGGCGAGCUAAUGUAGUUAUCUUAACCGGAGAAACCUUUGAUUUUGAGCACAAUAAUCUUAAAGUAAUAUCUCCUGUGGGAUCUGUAAUGUGUACAUAAACAACGCAACCGUAAGCGUUCAAGCUUGCAUCACAAAAUGCAACAAUAUCUACUUCACAGUCUUUGGAAACUCCAAUAUGGCGCGCUAUUGCUAUAGUUGAAAGCAAUGGAAGCUCUUUCACAAGUGAAGAGUAGCGGUAAAUAAUUGUAUCUGGAGGUGUAUCAUCCCAGUCUAUUUUAGAAUUCCAGAGUUCCUUAAUUAGCAAUUUAGCGAACAAUAUAACUGGAGCAACUAAACCAAGCACGUCGAACAAGCGUGCGACUAAAGAUAAUAUUGUUCUCUUAGUGCACUUUUCAUUAGUGUUUGAGCUCGUCAUAAAAAAUGAGUCAUUAGCGGGAAGCCAUGCAAGGCCUAAAACUUUCAUGGUAUUAUUAGCAUCAUCAGAGAAGCUUACAGAAGAGCGGUGCGUUUCUGGAAGGCUAUUAAGAAAGUCAGUGGAGUUACUUGCCCAUUUUGUUAAAUUAAAACCUCCUGAUUUAAAGAGUGAAAUUAGUUGUUUCGAUAGUUAAUUGAUAGCUGAAAUAUCUUCGUGUAGGGAUGUGACGAGAUCAUCCAUAUAUAAUUGAGACUCAGCUACACUAGCGGCUUCUGGAUAACGAUAACAUUCAUCUGAUACUAAUUGACGUAUAGUACGCAUUGCUAAAUAAGGUGAUGACUUUAAACCAAAGGACAGACAGUUAAAAGCUAAAAUGCGAAGUUUAUCAUUUUUAAAGCGGUACAAUAUUUUUAAAUAUUUAUGGUGGUCUGUGGUCACCCUAAUGCGUAAGUAUAUUUUUUCCACAUCAGCGCACAACGCCACAGCAAAAGCAAAAAUAAGUCUGCCUGUAAAUUUGGACCAGUAUGCAAGACGUCAUUAAGUGACAGUCCACUAGAUGUUUUAGCACUAGCAUCGAGAACUACACGUAGUUUAGUGGUAGUCUUGCUUGGGCGGAUAACUGCAUGGUAUGGCGGUAUAAAAUAACCAUUAUCGGUUUCCUUAGCGGUGUCGUUAAUUUCAGUUAAAUAACCUUUACUAGUGUAAUCCUGUAUAACGAUAUCGUAAUCAUCGCGGAGUGAGGGUAAUUGAACAAACUUACGUUCGAGCGAAAGAAAACGGCGGUGAGCAACAGUAUAAGACUUGCCAAGGUCAGCGGGAUUUCUACUAAAUGGUAACUCAACCGUAUAUCGGCCAUCAUUAUCGCGGGUAAUUGUAGAAAUAUAUUUGUUUUCACACUCGGCUUCCUCAGGGCUAAGAUGACGAUCAUGAGGAAUCUCCUCUAAUUCCCAAAAUUUAUGUAAAAAUGACUCAAGGUCUUUAGGCGUUAUAGAUGAGAAAGUUUUAUGUAAAGUGAAGGUAGAAUGAAUUUUAUUAUUUACAAAAGCGGGUGGAUUAUCAAUAUAAACUGUACUAGAUAGUCACAAAGAGGUAUUAUUAGGUAUCAUUUAUAACAGAAAAAUUAUCAUAUUGCGGUUUCAUAAUGCCGGUGUAACUCACAUCAGGUACGUCACCCAUAAGAACAUAAAAGAAGGUUGUUUCUACGGCAGGUGGCGCUAGUGAAGCAGUAUCUAUACGAUUACCUAAGUAUAUAUAUGGAAAUAACUGAGCACCUAACACCAUAUCAAUCACACCUGGAACGUUCCAAUUUGAAUCGGCAAGCGGUAAAUUACGUAUAUGAUUCAUAUUUGAGGAAUUUAUAAAAUAAGCGGGUAAUUUAUCUGUAAUACAGUCUACUACUAAAGCGUGAAUAUAAUAUUUAUUAGGAGAAAAUCUAGAUUCAAUAUUUAAAUAAACAUAUCCGUGAAUCGGGCGAGCGGUUAAUCCAAUACCUCUAAUAUAAGAAUUAUUUAAAGGUGUAAUCGGUAAUUUAAGUAAUUUACAACAAUUUACAGUUAUUAAAUUAUUUUGUGAACCAUUAUCUAUUAAAGAUCUAACUAUUUUACAUCCCCCUUCCCCUUUAUUCGAGUGAGCGUAUAUUUGAGCGGUUGAUAAUAAAAUAUUACUAUUCGAUUUUAUUUCCGAACUGUGAGUUAACGUGGUAGCGGUCGUAUUAUUUUGUUGUUGUAUCGUUUUCUUAGAGUGUGAACAAGUAUUCGAAGCGGCAUCAUUAUUAUCGUAACACUGAACAACUGGUUGAGAUUGAACCUGGGACCGACCGUAAUCGGACCGCGCGGCAUCACUCGGAAUUCCAUGUACCUGCGACCGACUGACCUGCCUGUCCAUAUCAGCGUAGUCAUUCGAUUGACUGGGUACGCUUUUACUAUUUCGAUUCGCCCGUUUAUUACCAAAACACUUCGAUCAACAAUAGUAACUAGAUUUCGGGUCGGUGCAUAAAAUCUGUCUCGUCAAAUAACAGCGCACUUGAAAUGUGAGCUCUUAUUUUGUUUAGUUCACUUCAAACACAGCCAAUGUCAACCCGUCUCACAAUACCGCAGUGUGUAUUCAAAAGUUGCAAAAAUAAGGCCCGAAAAAGCAAUUUAACGGCCGGAGUAUCUUACUUUCGCUUUCCUAGCAAUCACGUGUGCAGAAUGGAUCUCGAUUGUCGCCAGAGAAACAAGAGAUGACUUUUAUAAGCCAGCUAAGAACUCCGCUUAUUGACACUGGACAUCUUUGCCUUCCGUGCUCACGGCUACUGAAAUGUGGCCGAAACAUUGUAAUAAAAAUACCACGCUUGAAACCGUUUAAA